Molecule: ribosomal RNA, 420 nt
Filed under: crenarchaeote SCGC AAA008-A08
Lineage: Archaea; Thermoproteati; Thermoproteota
Description: SSU rRNA
Rfam family: Archaeal small subunit ribosomal RNA
Source: RNAcentral
GCGGUAAAACCAGCACCUCAAGUGGUCAGGAGGAUUAUUGGGCCUAAAGCAUCCGUAGCCGGCUCUGUAAGUUUUCGGUUAAAUCCAUGUGCUCAACAUAUGGGCUGCCGAAAAUACUGCAUAGCUAGGGAGUGGGAGAGGUAGACGGUACUCGGUAGGAAGGGGUAAAAUCCUUUGAUCUAUCGAUGACCACCUGUGGCGAAGGCGGUCUACCAGAACACGUUCGACGGUGAGGGAUGAAAGCUGGGGGAGCAAACCGGAUUAGAUACCCGGGUAGUCCCAGCUGUAAACGAUGCAGACUCGAUGAUGCAUUGGCAUAUAGCCAGUGCAGUGUCGCAGGGAAGCCGUUAAGUCUGCCGCCUGGGAAGUACGUACGCAAGUAUGAAACUUAAAGGAAUUGGCGGGGGAGCACGGUCAUAG